UUGUCUGCGAGGCCCCAGUAAGAAUUUCCUCCUGCAGCUAGUUUACAAAAAUCUGGAGCUAAUUGUGGACAGGUGGGGUUAGGGCCAGUGUGGGAGGUGGUAAAGGCGGUAUCUCCGGCCUCAUUUAUAAUUACCCAGGUGUAAUUCCAAGUCUGAUAGGGGCUUGAUGUUCCGGAUGUUAGCACAGUUAGAAAGAGAAGUUUCAGUAGAAUCCAGUAGAACUUCAUUGCUCUGAAAAAGAAAACAUGCAUUUUUCUCAGGCGCCACCCUGGAAUUUGUUAUAAGGCUUUAUCAAUCUUGGAAUUUGUUUGAAAUUUAUUGUAAAGCUUUAUUAAUCUUUCAGGGAGCCAUCUGGCUCCCCCCUCUUUAGAGUUAUAAAUACAGGCGGACCCUUUUCCCCAGACUAUCACAGGGUCAGGACCCUGCCACUGUCCAGUUAGGGGGUCCUUCCAGAGAACGUGAGCGUGAUCCAUCUUGGUUGAGGGGUGCCAUAAGCGAUCGGCAGCUGAACGCCCUUGAUUAUCCAAAGUUAAGAAAUUCAAAACAAAAAGGGCAUGGGAUAAUAAAAAUUUUGCGCUGCCUUUAAGAGAAUAAAGAGUUUCUUGGGCAGUAAGCUUUAACAGUGUAUUCUUAAGGGUUUGAUGUGCUCGUUCCACAAUUCCUUGUCCCUGAGGCUUAUAAGGUAUGCCUGUAAUAUGUUUCAUUUGAAAUUGGGAGCAAAAUUGUUUAAAUUUAUGACUAACAUAGCCAGGCCCAUUAUCCGUUUUUAGCAUUUUGGGUUGUCCCAUAACAGAAAAUGUGUAGAGCAUAUGAGCAAUAACAUCUUUUGUGGCCUCUCCUGUGUGUGCAGAGGCACAUAUGAACCCACUAAAGGUAUCAAUGGUAACAUGUACAAAUUUUAGUUUUCCAAAAGAUGGGACAUGGGUGACAUCCAUUUGCCAUAUUUCUCCCGGGAUAAGGCCCCUGGGAUUAACCCCAAUGUGUGGCUCAGGAAGUAGGGUCAGGCAGUUUUUACAAUUUUUGACAAUUUGUCUGGCUUGUUCUCUAGUAAUUUUGUACUUAAGCCACAAUGUUUGAGCAUUAAGGUGAUGGAGUGAAUGUGCCAUCUGUGCUUCUUGUAAGGAAUCACUAAGAGAAGCAAUCAUUGUCAGUCUAGUGGCCCUGUCAGCUAAAUCAUUACCUUUGGUUAAAGGACCGGGCAGAUUCGAGUGGGCUCUGAUAUGGCCCACAAAGAAUGGGUUUGGCCGGGCCCUUAUGUGUUUUUGUAUUUCUGAAAAUAGUUUAAAGGUAUGUGUUGAGGGUUGUAUAGUAGAGACAGUCUCCAAGACUCGGAGAGCUCUGACUACAUAAUGGCUAUCAGAAAAAAGGUUAAAUGAUUGAUUUAUUAAUUUAAAUAUUUCUAAAGCACUAUAAAGUUCUACUAAUUGGGCAGAAGCAUAUGGGGUAUGGACAAAAAAAAACAUGAUCUUUAACAACAAAGGAGGCCUUUCCAUUCUUAGAUCCAUCUAUGAAGACAGUUAAGGCAUUUGGUAUAGGUUUCAGCUGUGUAACCUUUGGGAAGACAAAGGGGGUAACAUGGAGGAACUGUAAUAAUUUAUCUCCUGGUAAAUGAGUAUCAAAUGUUCCCUGAUAAAUAGACAGCAGGACUGUCCAGUCAUCAUGUCUGUGCUGCAGCCAAGCAAGCUGCUCCUGUGAAUAUGGAGAAAUAAUAAUAUCGGGAUCGCAGGGAAAAUGGCGAGUAGCCAGCUUAAGCCCCAAGAAAAUUGUCUGGCAAAUUAAGGAGGGAUAAGUAGGAAGUAUUUUAGGGGGGGGUUGCGGGCAGGUGGCUCCACAUUAGUGGAUGAUUAUCUUGCCAUAGGAGGCCUAUGGGUGUAAACCUUGUAGCGAAAAGGAUCAGAUACAGUGUCUUGGAGGGGCUGCCUCGGGAGUCAGAACCCUAAUGGAAUUAGGAUCAGGGCUACCCUUCAGAAUUGCAAAUAGAGGUUUUAAAUCACCAGUGGUUAGCUUAAGGUAAGGUCUAAGCCAAUUAAUAUCACCCAAAAGUUUUUGAAAAUCAUUUAAGGUAUGUAGCUGCGAUCUUCUAAUUGUUAGCUUUUGAGAAUAAAUGGAUAUAGGUUCUAAUUGGAAUCCAAGAAACAAAAAAGGAUAUUGCGUCUGAAUUUUUUCAGGGGCAAUGGUGAAACCCCUUUUUUGUAAGGCCAGAACAAUAAUUUGGGCUAGUUUUUGAGUUUCCUGUAAACAAGCAGAGGAAACCAAGAUAUCAUCUAUGUAAUGAAUGAUGUAAGCAGAGGGGAAACGCAGCCUUAUUGGAUCUAUAGUUUGGGCCACAUACCUUCGACAUAGGGUGGGGCUAUUAGCCAUCCCCUGUGGUAACACUCGCCACUGAAAGCAGGGAUUAGGGCCCACAUGGUUAAUGACAGGGAUAGAAAAGGCAAAGCGGGCACAAUCCUCCGGAUGAAGGGGAAUAGAAAAGAAACAAUCUUUUAUAUCAAUGACUAUUUUAUAAAAGUCUCUAGGAAUAGCUAUUGGAGAAGGCAAGCCAGGUUGUAGGGCCCCCAUAGGGACCAUAGUUUUAUUAACCGCUCUAAGGUCUUGUAACAAUCUCCAAGAACCAUUUUUCUUUUUUAUGACAAAAAUAGGGGUGUUCCAAGGCGAAGUGGACUGUUCAAGGUGCCCUUGUAAUAAUUGUUCCUGCACCAACUAUAGGGCCGCUUGAACCUUUUCUUGAGGCAUGGACCACUGAUCGAUCCAGACUGGAUCAUUUGACUUCCAAGAUAUUUUAUCAGCCUGGAGUGCAGGAGGAACAGCGGUCUCUAUGAAAAAAGGUCAGGAGCUUUGAACUUUGGAGUGUAUCCUGUGUUUGACCUAUCCCUUUUAAAUGUGUGGCAGUAGCCUUAAGGGGCCAGGUUGAGGGCCAGUGUCUAGAGGAGAGCACUGUUGUAUCCGCCCCUGUAUCUAAAAGGCCCUGAAAUUGUUUGCCAUCAAGCCAAAGAGACAUCAUGGGUCUUUCAUCAGUUAAUUUUUGCACCCAAUAAACAUCUGAAGAGCCAGGGGAGGAAGAA
This is a long non-coding RNA of Rattus norvegicus (Norway rat), 3062 nucleotides long. RefSeq lists it as uncharacterized. NCBI's taxonomy places the organism in Eukaryota, Metazoa, Chordata, Mammalia, Rodentia, Muridae. The record is from RefSeq and is a predicted model, not a curated record.